AUUGAACGCUGGCGGCAGGCCUAACACAUGCAAGUCGAGCGGAUGAAGGGAGCUUGCUCCUGGAUUCAGCGGCGGACGGGUGAGUAAUGCCUAGGAAUCUGCCUGGUAGUGGGGGAUAACGUCCGGAAACGGGCGCUAAUACCGCAUACGUCCUGAGGGAGAAAGGGGGGGUUCUUCGGACCUCACGCUAUCAGAUGAGCCUAGGUCGGAUUAGCUAGUUGGUGGGGUAAAGGCCUACCAAGGCGACGAUCCGUAACUGGUCUGAGAGGAUGAUCAGUCACACUGGAACUGAGACACGGUCCAGACUCCUACGGGAGGCAGCAGUGGGGAAUAUUGGACAAUGGGCGAAAGCCUGAUCCAGCCAUGCCGCGUGUGUGAAGAAGGUCUUCGGAUUGUAAAGCACUUUAAGUUGGGAGGAAGGGCAGUAAGUUAAUACCUUGCUGUUUUGACGUUACCAACAGAAUAAGCACCGGCUAACUUCGUG
RNAcentral lists this ribosomal RNA (484 nucleotides) under uncultured bacterium. RNAcentral's name for it is "partial 16S ribosomal RNA". It matches the Rfam family "Bacterial small subunit ribosomal RNA", at positions 30 to 507 of the family's 1533-position model. The record is from RNAcentral.